UUUCUGCAGUUUGGGUAACUAUAUCAAUAUGCUUUGUUUCCUUUGUAAUUCCAUGUAUUUUAUUUUACACAGUUUAAAACAAUAUUCUGAGAAGGAGUCUGUAAGCCUUUAGCUGUCCACGGAAAUUCACAGCACAAAAGGCAAAGAACCCCUGGGAUGGAGCCAGCCUAUGUGGAGAUGCCCAGAAAGAAUCUUCAGGGACUAUUCUUUGAUUAAUUCAUCAGUUUCUUGAACAUAAUAAACAGAGAUGAGGAAUUGGCCCCUAUAAGGAGUCCCGAAAGUUGCAAGAGCCGUGUGACAGCCCAUCUCCAAAAUGACAUUGCUCUUUGUGUUGGCAUAUGAGUCACAGACUCUGGCCAGCUCUUCUGAAAAGAUGCUACAAGUACUCCAGAGUACUAUAAAUAUCCAAGGAAAGACAGAAACUUAAUUCAUGAUUUUCUCCAGUUUAAAUUCAUAGGUAAGAGAUAAACAUUUUUAUUAUUCCUUCUCAAUAAUAAAAAAAAUAUAUAACACUGAUUUUCUG
Molecule: long non-coding RNA, 523 nt
Filed under: Callithrix jacchus (white-tufted-ear marmoset)
Lineage: Eukaryota; Metazoa; Chordata; Mammalia; Primates; Cebidae
Description: lncRNA (ENSCJAG00000086660.1)
Source: RNAcentral